CAUCCUCAUCUUGUGAAGCUGAUUGGUUACUGCUUAGAGGAUGAACACCGGCUUUUGGUGUACGAGUUCAUGCCUCGAGGCAGUUUGGAAAAUCAUUUAUUUAGGAGAGGAUCUUACUUCCAGCCUCUUUCUUGGAAUCUCCGCUUGAAGGUUGCUCUUGGCGCUGCGAAGGGGCUUGCAUUUCUUCAUAGUGAUGAAAAUAAAGUUAUAUAUCGGGACUUCAAGACUUCUAACAUUCUACUUGAUUCAAAAUACAAUGCAAAGCUCUCUGAUUUUGG
This 278-nucleotide unclassified non-coding RNA is filed under the name Hevea brasiliensis (rubber tree). The record is from RNAcentral. Lineage: Eukaryota; Viridiplantae; Streptophyta; Magnoliopsida; Malpighiales; Euphorbiaceae.